CCGAGUGAGGGCCUCUGGCCCGACCUCCAACCCUUUGUUAUUAAAACCAUUGUUGCCUCGGGGGCGCUCUACAGCCUAUUGGCGUCGGGGCCCCCGGCGGACCAUUUCAAAACUCUGCAUCUUUGCGUCGGGUUUAAAAGUUUAAUAAUUA
Molecule: unclassified non-coding RNA, 151 nt
Filed under: uncultured fungus
Lineage: Eukaryota; Fungi
Description: sequence contains ITS1, 5.8S rRNA gene
Source: RNAcentral